This is a non-coding RNA of Parelaphostrongylus tenuis, 75 nucleotides long. The record is from the annotation of a GenBank genome assembly. Lineage: Eukaryota; Metazoa; Nematoda; Chromadorea; Rhabditida; Metastrongylidae.
GCGUCAGUAGUGCAACGGGUUCGAGCAUGCGCUCUUGGAUAGAGUGAGAUGUGGGUUCGAGUCUCACCUGGUGCU